RNAcentral lists this ribosomal RNA (425 nucleotides) under uncultured bacterium. Its description in RNAcentral is "bacterial SSU rRNA". It matches the Rfam family "Bacterial small subunit ribosomal RNA", at positions 954 to 1372 of the family's 1533-position model. The record is from RNAcentral.
GCUUAACGCGAAGAACCUUACCAGCACUUGACAUCCCGAUUUUGGUUAGUGGAGACACUUUCCUUCAGUUCGGCUGGAUCGGAGACAGGUGUUGCAUGGCUGUCGUCAGCUCGUGUCGUGAGAUGUUGGGUUAAAGUCCCGCAACGAGCGCAACCCCUUCCGUUAGUUGCUACCAAGUUAUGUUGGGCGACUCUAGCGGUACUGCCGGUGAUAAGCCGGAGGAAGGCAGGGAUGACGUCAAGUCAUCAUGGCCCUUACGUGCUGGGCUACACACGUGCUACAAUGGCAACUACAAUGGGAUGCAAUGGCGUGAGCCGGAGCUUAUCCGAUAAAAGUUGUCCCAGUUCGGAUUGGAGUCUGCAACUCGACUCCAUGAAGUUGGAAUCGCUAGUAAUCGUGGAUCAGAACGCCACGGUGAAUACGUU